GGGCUUCGGCCUGGUUAUUCAUAACCCUUUGUUGUCCGACUCUGUUGCCUCCGGGGCGACCCUGCCUUCGGGCGGGGGCUCCGGGUGGACACUUCAAACUCUUGCGUAACUUUGCAGUCUGAGUAAACUUAAUUAAUAAAUUAAAACUUUUAACAACGGAUCUCUUGGUUCUGGCAUCGAUGAAGAACGCAGCGAAAUGCGAUAAGUAAUGUGAAUUGCAGAAUUCAGUGAAUCAUCGAAUCUUUGAACGCACAUUGCGCCCCCUGGUAUUCCGGGGGGCAUGCCUGUUCGAGCGUCAUUUCACCAAUCAAGCCUCGCUUGGUAUUGGGCGUCGGGAGACCCCGCGCCCCCAAUUCAUCGGCUGGACGGUUCGAAUCUCAGCGUUGUGGUUAUUCAAUUCGCUGGCGAGGACGACCGGACGCGCCGUUAAACCUCUAUCACAGGUUGACCUCGGAUCGGGUAGGGAUACCCGCUGAACUUAAGCAUAUCAAUA
RNAcentral lists this ribosomal RNA (493 nucleotides) under uncultured fungus. RNAcentral's name for it is "eukaryotic LSU rRNA". The stretch from base 145 to 298 matches the Rfam family "5.8S ribosomal RNA". The record is from RNAcentral. Lineage: Eukaryota; Fungi.